GGUUAUGCAUUAAAUAUGAACAAAGUCGAUGGUUAUAAUGAUGGGCAUUAAAUGUAUAUAAGGAUAUUUUGGGAAAUUAAAAAGUGACGCUGAUGACACUUUUGACUUAUUCUCGCUGCGUACAAUAAUUUUAAUAGCAAAUGAGAGUGACUCAAGCUUGAUGCCGAACUUUAUGGACACAGAUAUGGAGCAUUUCCGUUCCGCCGAAACUUCGGACCUUCCUGUGGAGUAUUUGUCAAAACGCCGUCCCUACCAGCGAAAACCUCUACAAAAAAAAGAUCCGUCCAGACCCUCUCUGUCAGCUGUGUCGUACAGAAAUUGAAACUACAGAGCAUAUAUUCCUAUUCUGUAGAUGGACUAAAGAGAUUUGGAGAGAUAACAGACUACAGGGAACGAACGUGACGAAACAAAUCCGGCGAAUCGAUCAAUGGCUCCUGUCAGCAUUCGAAUCAAGAAGAGAAUUACCUGAGAGAGAGGUCAUCGCAUGGGUGCUGUGGCAGAUCUGGAAAGCGCGCAACGCACGGAUCUUCCGAGACAAAACUCCAACCCCAGAGGAUGUAAUCGACCUCGCACAUACCCAAAAUCAAGCCUUCAGCAGAGGAACGAAAACAAAAAACCCAAACCGAACCAAAAAUCGGCUCUUACCAGAGGUAUGGAAACCACCAGAAACCAGUGAGGUGAAAGUGAACGUGGAUGCCUCAUGGGUACCAGGAGAAUUUCUAUGUUCGGUGGCCGGCAUCGCCAGAAAUAGAGAUGGAUUAGUGGUCGCCGGUUUUGCUGCGGAAGAUAGGGUUUCGUCCGCGGAACAAGCAGAAGCAGAAGCUCUGUUACACGGCCUUCACUUUAUCUCCAAGUGGCCGACCAAUCACGUGCAAGCGCUUCAAAGUCAAGUACUUCGCUUCGUCUGUGAAAGCGAUAGCUCAGCGGUGGUGGACUAUGUGUUGGGCCGGGCCAAGAUACCAUGGAAUCUGAGCAGCAUAAUCCAAAGUUGCC
This 993-nucleotide long non-coding RNA is filed under the name Eucalyptus grandis. Its description in RNAcentral is "long non-coding RNA (EGRA_LNC004315)". Lineage: Eukaryota; Viridiplantae; Streptophyta; Magnoliopsida; Myrtales; Myrtaceae. The record is from RNAcentral.